This 68-nucleotide transfer RNA is filed under the name Anomophysis sp. ASCT00116655. RNAcentral's name for it is "tRNA-Arg". The record is from RNAcentral. Lineage: Eukaryota; Metazoa; Arthropoda; Insecta; Coleoptera; Cerambycidae.
AAGCGAGAAGCAAUAAUGCACUUAGUUUCGACCUAAAAGUAUGAUAAAAUUUUAUCCUUGCUUACUAA